CAGCGCCUGACACAUGCAAGUCGAACAAAGGCUGUCGGCCUUUAUAGGCGCACGGGUGCGUAACGCGUGGGAAUCUGCCCUUGGGUUCGGAAUAACAGUUAGAAAUGACUGCUAAUACCGGAUGAUGACGUAAGUCCAAAGAUUUAUCGCCCAGGGAUGAGCCCGCGUAGGAUUAGCUAGUUGGUGGGGUAAAGGCCUACCAAGGCGACGAUCCUUAGCUGGUCUGAGAGGAUGAUCAGCCACACUGGGACUGAGACACGGCCCAGACUCCUACGGGAGGCAGCAGUGGGGAAUAUUGGACAAUGGGCGCAAGCCUGAUCCAGCCAUGCCGCGUGAGUGAUGACGGCCUUAGGGUUGUAAAGCUCUUUCGCACGCGACGAUAAUGACGGUAGCGUGAGAAGAAGCCCCGGCUAACUUCGUGCCAGCAGCCGCGGUAAU
RNAcentral lists this ribosomal RNA (438 nucleotides) under uncultured bacterium. RNAcentral describes it as "bacterial SSU rRNA". It matches the Rfam family "Bacterial small subunit ribosomal RNA", at positions 43 to 524 of the family's 1533-position model. The record is from RNAcentral.